UCCAACCCAUGGUUCCAACGGUUCCAACCGUAGAGUUUCGGUAUUCUUUGUAUUCAAUCACGUGACUUUUUCGGGUAGUUUUACUUCCGGUGAAUUAUUUGGUGGUCUACCAAACCAAAAUGGCCGCCGUAGUGCAAGGACCUGCUCUAGAUUUAAGUAUACCAACACUUUAGACACGAUUUCACUUUCGCGAUACCUCCAAAAAGUUAGUUUGUGUGAUGGCAUCGAGUCGACCCUUAUGCGUUGAAGAAGAAAGAUUUCGGUACGGAUUUGGAAUUGUAUCCAGCAGUAGAGUUUCCCGACAUCCUUCUACACCACGAAACAGAUGAAAGCAUGGAAGAGUAUGGAAGCCUACAACUUCUUUGUGUGGUUGGGUGAAAGACCUUGGCGUGAAAAGGCUGCCCGACAAGUCCUGCAUUGUUUAUGCCCGUUUCAACCAUUCUCAGAGAUCUACGGAGACUCUACUGAAGACAUGGCUAUUAGUGAAAGAAGAUGGAGAGGCUUGCAGAAUCCUGCUCUCACGUUGGAGCUGUACUAUAUGCCUUGGAGACAGGUGUGAGAAUGAGAGUCAGUCACUUGCACAAUGGAGAAAAGUAAAUGGCUCAUGCCAUCCCAUAUCAACAAGAUCCCAGUGACUGCUGUAUCAGAUAUCGACUUUGCACCUGCAAGAGCUAAGAAGAAGAGACUUGAUGAUGCUAUUUCUGGCUCAAGCCCUGAACAAAGCAAAUCUCCCUCCCCAAAAAGUGCCUGCUCUGCUGUACGCCCUGGCUCAGGUGUUUACACAAAGUUCUUAGAUGAGCUGAACCAAAACUUGGAAGUGCAGCCUUGAUGGUGCAAGAGAAAUUUCACAAGAGAUUUAUCCCCAAGUCAGCAACCACCAGUCUCCCAAAGCCCAUCCUGGACUACUAAACACCAGACAGUGUCAGCCAGAGACCUGCAUGGUUUGUGUGAGCAGUUCAAGAUGCCAGAUCUGACCCCUGCUCAUAUAGCAGCCGUAGAGCGAGAGACGGCUGCUAUAAACAAACCAUUAAACAAACCAUUCGGACGAAUGCAGACAAGCCAGCAAAAAGCCUUAUCAAGGCAAUCUGUUACCCGGAAUCAAACAGAUUCUCUACUGCAGCUACAAGGUAUGGAUGUAAGCAUGAGGCACAGGCACGGAAGGACUACGAAAAAAUUAUGAGAGAGUUACAUGACGGCUACUCUAUAGCAGAUUCUGGCCUUUGUCUCAAUGCAAAGUUGCCCUUCAUGGGAGCGUCACCAUAUGGGAUUGUUGUAUGCAGUUGUCACGGAACUGGAGUGUGUGAAAUCAAGUGCCCACAUUGUCAUCAGGACAAGGAGAACAUCAGAGCUUGUGCCGGAGAAACGGGUUUCUGCCUGACGAAGGACGGUGACAAGAUAAAGCUGGACAGAUCACAUGCCUACUACUAUCAAAUUCAAGCACAGCUCUUUAUUUUGCAAGUAGACUGCUGUGAUUUUAUUGUAUGGAACAAGAAUGACAUUUUUAUAGAGAAUUUUGCCUGACGUGGAGUUUUGGGAUAGCGUCAUCCCUAAGGCUGAACGUUUUUUUUCGGUAAUGUAUCCUCCCUGAAGUUUUGGCAAAGAAAUUCACCAAGCAAGUUUCUGCAUCUCUGCUCUCUAGCAGAUCUCCUUAGAAGUGAAAAAAACACAGGAUACAUUUUAAUAGUUCAGUGUUUUAUUUACAUUUGUUUGCUUGAAGUAUAGCCUUUCCAUUAUUUUGCUAGAAUGGUCCAUCAUAUAAUAUUUCUCCCUUCUUAUUGAUGCCACGAAUUUGAGACUUAUAAUGCCACAUACAGUAAUAGUGUAAUAUAAUGUACAUAGUAUUUUUGUAUCAAAAAUAAUUAUAUUGUAAAUUAAGACCGUAUUUUCAUUUCAUAUUUAUGAAGCCAACAAUUUAAUAGUUGUAUUAGUGUAUAGAUUACUCUUAGUCAUAGAAGCUUAUGUUACAGGUUGUAUAUUUAUCGGUCAAAAGCUAAAUAAAUAAGUCAUAAACCAUGGCAUUCUUGAGCUUUAAAUUGUCCUAAAAUAACAGUUUGUGAUCGGGCAGUAAUAUUUUCUCGAUCUACCAAACUUUCAAGAAGUGAUCACUGCAAACUCGUGCAUGUUUUGACUCUAAUCCCUUCGACUUCAGCGAGAUGUUCGAGAGCCACUUUUCGUCGUCUUUUUCUAAAAUCCCUUGUUUCUGUACCGUGUUUUUUAACUUCACAGGGAACUCUGAAGUUACUUCUAUCCGAUUCACGGUUUGAACGGUUCGAAGAGCCUAAAACAACGUGUUCUUCAUAAAAAAAUCGUGUGUGUGUGUGUGUGUGAGCUGCAGGCUGCUUGGCACAUGCACUUUGACCAUCUUUCCGACUUACUUGUGCGACAGGCCUGCUAUUACAUAGUAGUAAGAUAAGAUGCGCCUAAAUGUUUUUCAUUAAUCUGUGUUAGCAUUCCUGUUUGUACUACUGUAGAGCAUCUCAUAUGUAGUACCCUAAUGUAAAUAACACAGUCCAAAACAAAUGUCUGCAUGAAAUAUUUAUUUCAAAUAAAACACUGCCAGAUUACCUACAAUUUAUCUAAUUUAUAU
Molecule: long non-coding RNA, 2587 nt
Organism: Gadus chalcogrammus (walleye pollock)
Lineage: Eukaryota; Metazoa; Chordata; Actinopteri; Gadiformes; Gadidae
Exons: 6
Source: RefSeq, a predicted model, not a curated record